Long non-coding RNA from Ictidomys tridecemlineatus (thirteen-lined ground squirrel), 4902 nucleotides. RefSeq lists it as uncharacterized. Lineage: Eukaryota; Metazoa; Chordata; Mammalia; Rodentia; Sciuridae. The record is from RefSeq and is a predicted model, not a curated record.
GUCUUGGCGGGUGUGUGUGUGGGGGGACGAGGGUCCCCAGUUGUCGCUUUGUUCACCUGGGGGUGUCUGAGAGGCAGCGCCCCCUCCCGGCUACAGCUCCAGGGUGGAGCGCGUCCUGCUGCACGGCUCUGGGGCGUCCCUUGGAGGUGGGCGGCGGUGUCAGCCGGCUGGGAUCACGUUGGAACCAGUGACGUGCGGUAAAAUAAUGGCCCCGUAAAGGGGAAGCGAUGCCAUCAGGGAAAGUCGGAGGGCUCAUGAAUAUUCUGGGCACUUGUACCCACAGCCAGCGCCAGGCUCGGCUCCUGAUUCAUCAAUAUUACAAAUUGGCGCGGUGGUGAGCCGCCUGUCAGCGACUUUCAUUUUUGCUUCGAGCCCCAGGAAUUACAAUGGAAGUAUUUCUCAGGGACGGCCUGCAGGAACACAGGCGGGCUCGUGCAGCCAGAGCCCGGGCGGGGCCUUGGUGGCUCCGAGGUCAGGAGGAAGCCAUUCCUGAGCAAGCCCCAGCCCCCGGGGAGAACCAGGAGAGAGCCCACCAGCGCCAGCAAUGUCCUUGAAGGCCAGCACAGCGACUCUGCAGAGGAAAGACAAUGGGCCCAUUCCACAGGCGAGGAAAACUGAGGCUCAGAGGAGGGCCGUGGUUCCCCACCGUGGAGCCCCGCUGGAGCUGCAGGGGAUGGACUGCAGACCGACCGCAGGGUUGCACGGAGUGACCAGCUUCCCCAUUCCCACCCUCGGCUCAGGGUGGACGCUUUCCCUGUCCUUUGCAGAAGCGCCCCCCGCCGGCUCCAGAACCUCACGCUGUGACCGUGACACUCACCAAAGGAGGGCGAACUCCAUCGCCGCCCGAGCCGGCAUCCAGUUCAGACGCGGACGCUCCAGGGACAGGGUGCAGCGGGGAGUCUCUCGCUCCCUGUCCUGCUGCUCUGUCUGUGCGUCCAUCUGGCGUUCUGGCCCCCGGGUCUGGUCAGCCCCACGCAGAAGGUCAAACUCGCUGGAGGGUGAAGCGGAAGGAGAGCGGGGUGUGUGGGGGGGGCGACGAUUUCAGGGACGUGGAGUUUGACCGUGUCCCUCUGGGUCUCCUCCCACCCGUGUCACUUCUCAAGCCCCUGCCCAUGAGCGCAAGAGGAGAAACAGUGUCACCAGACCCGUCCAUUUGCUCGCCACUCAAAAGCCGGGAGAGGAGAGCUGUGGGGGGGAGCUGGGUUGUUCAAGGGUCAGCACCCCGAUAAGACAGUGGGGAGCAAACAACAGCAACCCAAGAGCAUCCUGGGGACAUGGGGGACAUGGAAGGGCUUUCAUAGGUAGGGAACAGAGGUGCAGUGGGACAGUGGGUGUGAAAUCUGGGAGCCUCUGCAGGGCCUCGGUCAUCUGGGGUGAGCGUCUUUUCUUCAUGGGUGAGAACAUGGCCGUCAACCUUGACCUUGACCCCCUGGGGCAGGCACUGUGAUUCCUUAGACAAACACGUGGCUUUUCUUCCUGUUGAGUCCUUGGGUACAUUCUGCUGUACCCUGAAGACCUACAGAUGUCCGGGUUGUGUCAACCUAAGAGGAGGCUGAUGGAGUGGUGGACGUCCUCGUCAUGAGGGGCCUUUUCCUUGAGGACUUUCCUGGGCAAAGGGAGGGGAAAGGGUUGGAGAGGAGAAUCGUGAAGGAGUGACCACUGCCCAACAGCUGGAAGCCACCCGAGAAUGGCAUGUCUCCAGUGGCGGGCUGAGCAUCCUCAAGAAAGCAGCUUUAAGGUGCCCUCCUGUCACCCCAGUGGCUUGGGAGGCUGAGGCAGGAGGAUUAUGAGUUUGAAGGCCAGCUUCACCAACUUUAGUGAGGCCCUGUCUCAAAAUAAAAAAUAAAAAGGGCUGGGGAUGGGGCUCCGUGAUGAAGUGUCCCCGGGUUUGAUCCCCAGGACCAAGAAAAAGAAAAAAAAAUCAGAUUUUAGAUAAGGAGGAGGAAGAGGAGGAGGAGGAGGAAGAGAAAAAGGCAGAGGACACAAGGAAACCCUGAACGAGCGAGGGUCAGAAAACGGGGGUCAAGUGACAUGUGAGUGACUCUCCCAAACAUGGGCCUAGUGAGGCUCUGAGUCUUCAUCUGCAAAAUGGGGGGGGUCUAUGGCAUUUCUGGGGGGCUCACAGUGAAGAUCGAAGAUGGUUAAGAGUCCUUCUUUACGGCCUGGCAGGAGAGCGCGGUGAAGUGCUCUCUCACACUUUGGAAACGAAUCCCGUGCACUUAUUUAUGCCCUGAGACCCACCUCCUCCGUGGGCAGCGGCCGGGCCAGGCGGCCUUUACCGCCUCAGGAAAAGCAUGACACUGCAUAAAGUAGGGGAGUCACGGCCAAGUCUCACCUUGGAGCUCUGGAAGCCGGCCGAGGGCUGGCAGAGGAGGAGAGGUGUGGGAGAAGGCCCUAGUGGAGCUCUCUGCCUUUGAGCCUCGAAGGCUCUCCCUGGGCUGGGGACAGACGCUGGGGUAUCCUGAGGAAGCACAGAAGCAGCCUCAGCCGAGGACUGAGGAGGGUGUCUGCAAAACCCCCAGCCACAGCCCUGAGCAGGCGCCUCUCGGCACAAGCCAGUGCUGAGACCUGGGCAGUGGCCAGCCAUGGGCAGCAGGCCAAGAUGGCCCCCGGUGGGACUCAGCCCUUGUCGCCCCGAGCUGCCUGAGGGAUGAGUUUUCACGAAGCGGAGGUGACGCGGGACUCACUGUGCAGCUCCUGGGAAGGGGAGCCGCGGUCGAGCCUUCGGAUACAACUGCAGCCCCUUCCUAGUCUGGCCACACCCUCGGGAGAGACCCAGGCCGCCUCCCGCAGGUGGGCGGCCGUGAACUCCUGACCCCUGGAAACCCUGUGGCCACACGUGAGCUCAUUGUCAGUUUCAGUGCCGAGUGCCGGGGCGACUCUUAUGUAGAAACUGACCCCUCUGCCUGCCACUUGGCACAGUGUGGGACAUGUCCCCUCCUCGGAAGGCGGACGCAGCCGGGAACAGGGGAGGGACCCUCGGUGCCCUGGAAUUCUGUUUCUGCCACUUAGUGGAACCAGGCUGUGGUGGGACUCUGUUGAGUCACAGGAAGUGAAGUUCCGUGCUCAGAUCUGAGUUUCCAGACGCCGCGUCUGUGGCCACGGCUUCCCAGGAGGAUCCGUGGAUAUUUGGGGGCCGGGGGAGGCCAGCGGAGCAGGACAACAGUCUCCAGAGUUCCAAAACAGAGGGGCACGUCUCCCCAAAUCCCGAAAAUUCUCCAGUUCCAGAAAACUGGGCUCUUCUCCGGGAAGCCUCUGGCUCCCACUCUGUCCCCUCCUGUGAGCGUCACCCGCUCAGCUUAGUGCCCAGACCCGCCCAUUGGAAAACCUACCAUUAAAGAGACCAUUAAAAAGAGAGGGGAAGAGCAAUCGUGCCAAGCUGCAAGGCCCAGGAGGCCAGGGGACAGCGCGUGAUGGAAAUCAGCCCUGGGACCAGAGGGCAGGUGGCCCAGCGGCCGAGGCAGACACAGAAUCCACUGGAGAAGUCCACAUAUUUGAAAAUCCUCUUCCUUUGAUGAAUUGAGUUAUCAAGAGUUUCUCUCUGUCCCCACCCCAAAGGGUCCAGAACAGGGGCUCAGACGGAGUCAGGUUCUGCCUCUUUCCAACUGCUGUAGAUCUCAGGCAAGUCUCUGAACCUCUCUGACCCUCUGUUUCUUCAUUGAGAAAGAAGGAAUAAGGAUAGGUCUAUACAAAUGGACCUGAAUCUCCAUCUUGCUUUGUAUUCGUCCUAACAAAUCAUAGGGAGUGAAGUUAUAUGCCUUACAGUCUUUCCCAUCAUGAAAUGAAGCCUGUUUCCCCAUUGCCUGAUUCCAGGAUGGCCGUGUGACUUCUUUUGACCAGUAAAAUAUGGCAGAAGUGACCUAGGUCAGUCCAGGGCCUCAGUCUCAGAGGCUUCUGUUCUCUCUGACCCCAUGGCCCCCUUCAAGCAGCUCCGACUGGGCUGGUGAAGAUAACACCCAUGUGUAACAGACGUGACCAACCCAGCCACAACUGUCUAAGACACCCAUCCUCCAGACGACCACAGAUUGUCUAAGUGGGCCAGUGAGUGUCUGCCCAGGUGGCCAGGAAAGAGAACAGCCACCUGACCCAUGGCCUUACGGGUAACAGUGGAGGAAGGGGUAUUGUUUGAAGCUGUUAGGCAUCAUUUGAUUUGUUAUGCAGCAAUAGCUAGCAGCUACACUGCCGUCUUAAGGAUUUCUGUGAGGACCAGAAAUUGUAUAGGCAGAUGGCAUAAGCUCAUUGCUGAUGGUGGGCUGGCUCUGCCAGGGACUGUGCUUAGGAUUAGGGGCAUUAGACCAAAGGCUGGGGAGGUCCUGAAGUGCUGGCCCUGAAGUUCAAGGGCAGGGCGUCCCGCUACUCACACACACACCCAGGGUCUGGCUCACGGUUCCUGCUCCAUGCACCUUAGUUGUUGGAUAUUGUUGAUGCUGAGACUCCUGAAAACGCUUCCGGCUUGGAUGUGGGUCUGAAGUUCGCAACCAGAGGCCUCAGAGGCUCCUUAGCCAAGGGCAGAUUAGAAGGCAGCUCUGUGGCGGGUCUGUGAGAAGGAAGGGGGGGGCACAGUCGGUAACCGGGGGCCCCUCUGCCCUCACUGCUGUGGUCCCUGCACCUGCAGCCCCAGCAUCCCCUGGGCCCUAGUUAGGAAUGCAGAAUCUCAGGUCCUCCUCGGCCGGCUGAAUCAGUAAGUGUGCUUUAACAAGGCCCCCAGGGCAUUUGGGGCCUGCUAGAGUUUACCGGAACACUCUUCUUAAGCUCUGUGCACUGAGGGACUGAUAGAUAUUUUAAAAAAUUUCUAAUCCAUUGCAGAAUGACACUUUUAUAAAAUGCAGUUAAACACACACACACACACACACAAUUUACGAAACAAAAUAAAUGAAAAAUAAAACACCCGCAAAAAUCCAA